AACGUAGGAGACAAACGUUAUCCGGAGUUACUGGGCGUAAAGGGCGCGUAGGUGGUGGCUUAAGCGUGCGGUGAAAGCUCGGGGCUCAACUCCGAGUCGGCCGUGCGAACUGGGCUCACUGGAGCAUAGUAGAGGCAGGUGGAAUUCCGGGUGUAGCGGUGGAAUGCGUAGAGAUCCGGAAGAACACCGGUGGCGAAGGCGGCCUGCUGGGCUAUGGCUGACACUGAGGCGCGACAGCGUGGGGAGCAAACAGG
This 254-nucleotide ribosomal RNA is filed under the name uncultured bacterium. RNAcentral's name for it is "partial 16S ribosomal RNA". It matches the Rfam family "Bacterial small subunit ribosomal RNA", at positions 524 to 776 of the family's 1533-position model. The record is from RNAcentral.